Molecule: ribosomal RNA, 417 nt
Filed under: uncultured bacterium
Lineage: Bacteria
Description: bacterial SSU rRNA
Rfam family: Bacterial small subunit ribosomal RNA
Source: RNAcentral
AUAUUGGUCAAUGGGUGCAAGCCUGAACCAGCCAUGCCGCGUGCAGGAAGACGGCCUUCUGGGUUGUAAACUGCUUUUAACGGGGGAUAAAAAGCUCAUGCGUGAGCAAUUGAAGGUACCCGUUGAAUAAGCCACGGCUAACUACGUGCCAGCAGCCGCGGUAAUACAGAGGGUGCGAGCGUUGUUCGGAAUCACUGGGCGUAAAGCGCGCGCAGGCGGUCCUGCAAGUCUGAAGUGAAAUCUCGUCGCUCAACGACGGGGCUGCUUUGGAAACUGCGGGUCUGGAGAUCGGUAGAGGCUGGUAGAAUUGCAGGUGUAGCGGUGGAAUGCGUAGAGAUCUGCAAGAAUACCCGUGGCGAAGGCGGCCAGCUGGGCCGAAUCUGACGCUGAGGCGCGAAAGCGUGGGGAGCAAACAGG